Molecule: microRNA precursor, 89 nt
Organism: Monodelphis domestica (gray short-tailed opossum)
Lineage: Eukaryota; Metazoa; Chordata; Mammalia; Didelphimorphia; Didelphidae
Gene: mdo-mir-93
Product: mdo-mir-93
Source: Ensembl
AGUCUUGGGGGGCUCCAAAGUGCUGUUCGUGCAGGUAGUGUGAUAACCUGACCUACUGCUGAGCUAGCACUUCCAGAGCCCCUGGGACA